RNAcentral lists this ribosomal RNA (903 nucleotides) under bacterium PSA51. Its description in RNAcentral is "bacterial SSU rRNA". It matches the Rfam family "Bacterial small subunit ribosomal RNA", at positions 439 to 1344 of the family's 1533-position model. The record is from RNAcentral.
UACGGGAAGAAAAAGAGCUACGUGUAGCUUACUGACGGUACCGUAAGAAUAAGGACCGGCUAACUCCGUGCCAGCAGCCGCGGUAAUACGGAGGGUCCGAGCGUUAUCCGGAAUUAUUGGGUUUAAAGGGUCCGUAGGCGGGCCGUUAAGUCAGGGGUGAAAGUCUGCGGCUCAACCGUAGAAAUGCCUUUGAUACUGGCGGUCUUGAGUUAUGGUGAAGUUGCCGGAAUAUGUAGUGUAGCGGUGAAAUGCAUAGAUAUUACAUAGAACACCGAUUGCGAAGGCAGGUGACUAACCAUAUACUGACGCUGAUGGACGAAAGCGUGGGGAGCGAACAGGAUUAGAUACCCUGGUAGUCCACGCCGUAAACGAUGGAUACUAGCUGUCCGAGGCCUUGAGUCUUGGGCGGCCAAGCGAAAGUGAUAAGUAUCCCACCUGGGGAGUACGUUCGCAAGAAUGAAACUCAAAGGAAUUGACGGGGGCCCGCACAAGCGGUGGAGCAUGUGGUUUAAUUCGAUGAUACGCGAGGAACCUUACCAGGGCUUAAAUGCAUAUUGACAGGGCUAGAGAUAGCUUUUCCUUCGGGCAAUUUGCAAGGUGCUGCAUGGUUGUCGUCAGCUCGUGCCGUGAGGUGUCAGGUUAAGUCCUAUAACGAGCGCAACCCCUACCGUUAGUUGCCAGCAUGUCAUGAUGGGGACUCUAACGGGACUGCCGGUGCAAACCGUGAGGAAGGUGGGGAUGACGUCAAAUCAUCACGGCCCUUACGUCCUGGGCCACACACGUGCUACAAUGGCCGGUACAGAGAGCAGCCACUUGGCAACAAGGAGCGAAUCUAUAAAACCGGUCACAGUUCGGAUCGGGGUCUGCAACCCGACCCCGUGAAGCUGGAAUCGCUAGUAAUCG